GCGGGUGUAACUCAGUGGUAGAGUGCUUGCUUCCCAAGCAAGUUGUCGUGGGUUCGAGUCCCAUCACCCGCU
RNAcentral lists this transfer RNA (72 nucleotides) under Dehalococcoidia bacterium CG2_30_46_19. Its description in RNAcentral is "tRNA-Gly". It matches the Rfam family "tRNA". Rfam says of the family: Transfer RNA (tRNA) molecules are approximately 80 nucleotides in length. Their secondary structure includes four short double-helical elements and three loops (D, anti-codon, and T loops). Further hydrogen bonds mediate the characteristic L-shaped molecular structure. tRNAs have two regions of fundamental functional importance: the anti-codon, which is responsible for specific mRNA codon recognition, and the 3' end, to which the tRNAs corresponding amino acid is attached (by aminoacyl-tRNA synthetases). tRNAs cope with the degeneracy of the genetic code in two manners: having more than one tRNA (with a specific anti-codon) for a particular amino acid; and 'wobble' base-pairing, i.e. permitting non-standard base-pairing at the 3rd anti-codon position. The record is from RNAcentral. Lineage: Bacteria; Bacillati; Chloroflexota; Dehalococcoidia. RNAcentral also lists the same sequence under 3 other names.